This 253-nucleotide ribosomal RNA is filed under the name uncultured bacterium. RNAcentral's name for it is "partial 16S ribosomal RNA". It matches the Rfam family "Bacterial small subunit ribosomal RNA", at positions 524 to 776 of the family's 1533-position model. The record is from RNAcentral.
UACGUAGGCAGCAAGCGUUGUUCGGAGUUACUGGGCGUAAAGAGUGCGUAGGCGGUGCUCUAAGUUUGGUGUGAAAUCUCCCGGCUCAACUGGGAGGGUGCGCCGAAAACUGGAGUGCUUGAGUGUGGGAGAGGCAAGCGGAAUUCCUGGUGUAGCGGUGAAAUGCGCAGAUAUCAGGAGGAACACCGGUGGCGAAGGCGGGUCUCUGGGCCGUAACUGACGCUGAGGAGCGAAAGCGUGGGGAGCGAACAGG